Molecule: ribosomal RNA, 634 nt
Filed under: uncultured bacterium
Lineage: Bacteria
Description: bacterial SSU rRNA
Rfam family: Bacterial small subunit ribosomal RNA
Source: RNAcentral
ACUCCGGUGGUGUGAGAUGGACCCGCGUCUGAUUAGCUAGUUGGUGAGGUAAGGGCUCACCAAGGCGACGAUCAGUAGCCGACCUGAGAGGGUGACCGGCCACAUUGGGACUGAGACACGGCCCAAACUCCUACGGGAGGCAGCAGUGGGGAAUAUUGCACAAUGGGGGAAACCCUGAUGCAGCGACGCCGCGUGAAGGAAGAAGUAUUUCGGUAUGUAAACUUCUAUCAGCAGGGAAGAAAAUGACGGUACCUGACUAAGAAGCCCCGGCUAACUACGUGCCAGCAGCCGCGGUAAUACGUAGGGGGCAAGCGUUAUCCGGAUUUACUGGGUGUAAAGGGAGCGUAGACGGAGCUGCAAGUCUGAUGUGAAAGCCCGGGGCUCAACCCCGGGACUGCAUUGGAAACUGUAGAUCUAGAGUGCCGGAGAGGUAAGCGGAAUUCCUAGUGUAGCGGUGAAAUGCGUAGAUAUUAGGAGGAACACCAGUGGCGAAGGCGGCUUACUGGACGGUGACUGACGUUGAGGCUCGAAAGCGUGGGGAGCAAACAGGAUUAGAUACCCUGGUAGUCCACGCCGUAAACGAUGACUACUAGGUGUCGGGGAGCAAAGCUCUUCGGUGCCGCAGCCAACGCAA